RNAcentral lists this ribosomal RNA (393 nucleotides) under uncultured bacterium. Its description in RNAcentral is "bacterial SSU rRNA". It matches the Rfam family "Bacterial small subunit ribosomal RNA", at positions 28 to 424 of the family's 1533-position model. The record is from RNAcentral.
GACGAACGCUGGCGGCGUGCUUAACACAUGCAAGUCGAGCGGUAAGGCCCUUUCGGGGGUACACGAGCGGCGAACGGGUGAGUAACACGUGGGUGACCUGCCUCUAGCUCUGGGAUAAGCCUGGGAAGCUGGGCCCUAAUACCGGAUAUGACCUCGCGGUGCAUGUUGCGGGGUGGAAAGCCUUGUGCGGCUAGGGAUGGGCCCGCGGCCUAUCAGCUUGUUGGUGGGGUGAGGCCUACCAAGGCGACGACGGGUAGCCGGCCUGAGAGGGCGACCGGCCACACUGGGACUGAGACACGGCCCAGACUCCUACGGGAGGCAGCAGUGGGGAAUCUUGCGCAAUGGGCGAAAGCCUGACGCAGCGACGCCGCGUGAGGGAUGACGGCCUCGGUU